GCUCAGAUUGAACGCUAGCGGGAUGCCUUACACAUGCAAGUCGAACGGCAGCACGGACUUCGGUCUGGUGGCGAGUGGCGAACGGGUGAGUAAUGUAUCGGAACGUGCCUAGUAGCGGGGGAUAACUACGCGAAAGCGUAGCUAAUACCGCAUACGCCCUACGGGGGAAAGCAGGGGAUCGUAAGACCUUGCACUAUUAGAGCGGCCGAUAUCGGAUUAGCUAGUUGGUGGGGUAAUGGCUCACCAAGGCGACGAUCCGUAGCUGGUUUGAGAGGACGACCAGCCACACUGGGACUGAGACACGGCCCAGACUCCUACGGGAGGCAGCAGUGGGGAAUUUUGGACAAUGGGGGAAACCCUGAUCCAGCCAUCCCGCGUGUGCGAUGAAGGCCUUCGGGUUGUAAAGCACUUUUGGCAGGAAAGAAACGCCGCGGGUUAAUACCCUGCGGAACUGACGGUACCUGCAGAAUAAGCACCGGCUAACUACGUGCCAGCAGCCGCGGUAAUACGUAGGGUGCAAGCGUUAAUCGGAAUUACUGGGCGUAAAGCGUGCGCAGGCGGUUCGGAAAGAAAGAUGUGAAAUCCCAGAGCUUAACUUUGGAACUGCAUUUUUAACUACCGAGCUAGAGUGUGUCAGGAGGGAAGGUGGAAAUUCCGCGUGUAGCAGUGAAAUGCGUAGAUAUGCGGAGGAACCACCGAUGGCGAAGGCAGCCUCCUGGGAUAA
RNAcentral lists this ribosomal RNA (724 nucleotides) under Achromobacter sp. 110609_136_C_A1. Its description in RNAcentral is "bacterial SSU rRNA". It matches the Rfam family "Bacterial small subunit ribosomal RNA", at positions 22 to 737 of the family's 1533-position model. Lineage: Bacteria; Pseudomonadati; Pseudomonadota; Betaproteobacteria; Burkholderiales; Alcaligenaceae. The record is from RNAcentral.